AAUCAACGCUGGCGGCGUGCCUAACACAUGCAAGUCGAGCGAGAAAGUGGGGGCAACUCCAUGAGUACAGCGGCGACCGGGUGAGUAACACGUGACUAACCUACCCUUGAGUGGGGAAUAACUCCGGGAAACCGGAGCUAAUACCGUAUAACACCGUAAGGUCAAAGGAGCAAUUCGCUUAAGGAGGGGGUCGCGGUUGAUUAGCUAGUUGGUGGGGUAAUGGCCCACCAAGGCGAUGAUCAAUAGCCGGCCUGAGAGGGCGCACGGCCACACUGGAACUGAAACACGGUCCAGACUCCUACGGGAGGCAGCAGUGGGGAAUUUUGCGCAAUGGGGGAAACCCUGACGCAGCAACGCCGCGUGAAGGAUGAAGGUCUUUGGAUUGUUAAACUUCUUUCGUUCGGGACGAUAAUGACGGUACCGGAAGAAGAAGCCCCGGCUAACUUCGU
This 449-nucleotide ribosomal RNA is filed under the name uncultured bacterium. RNAcentral describes it as "bacterial SSU rRNA". It matches the Rfam family "Bacterial small subunit ribosomal RNA", at positions 32 to 506 of the family's 1533-position model. The record is from RNAcentral.